This 1799-nucleotide long non-coding RNA is filed under the name Homo sapiens (human). RNAcentral describes it as "HSALNT0341068". Lineage: Eukaryota; Metazoa; Chordata; Mammalia; Primates; Hominidae. The record is from RNAcentral.
CAUGAAGCCAGCACGUUGGGGAGACACCGUGUCACAAUGACAAGCUCGGUUUCCCUCCAGAGCAUCACGCCUCCUCCAGCACAGGAGCCGCCUGCUUUCCUAGGCUGCUGUGGAACUGGCCUGAGGUCCCAGACGCUGUCCAUUGUGCUGCCGCCCUCCGCGCUCUCCAGCCAGAGCGCCAGUUCACCGGCUUUUGGGAGAACUCCGCCGCCUCACCUGCCCGCGGACAAGGUCACAGCUUUGCAGGGGGUUGACAUGGGCUGUGGCUUCCUGGAAAUGUCACCCUCACCAGAGCCUUUUACAUGGAUGUGAAUUUUGAGACAUGAAGGAGGGUAAUUAUUGGUUUACCCAGGAGAUGCUAAGAGCAGAGGAGAAAACCCUAAUUUCCAGGCAUGUGACUUGAGCCAGGGACAGGCUAGCCAGACCCUGAGCCCCCAGUGCCGCCAGAGAGCAGCCUAUUGCCCUGGUUUCUGUGGAAGUCUCUUCAUGCUGCUGGGCCUUAGCCUCAGGGACAGCUCAGUCAGGUGAGGGUGGGGAUGACCCAUGGGCUUCUGGAGCUGGGCUGGUGGUCCUGGAAGGGCCGGCCCAUGCCCCUUGGAGAGGGUCUUUGUGCUGAGGGAUGCCCACAGAGGCCUGGGUACCAGGAACACUGCUCCAGGCAAGGGGCCUUUCUUCCAGAUUUGGCUGGAAGGAAGACUUGGUCAGCUUUUCCACCUUGCAGGGCUGCACCCCAUGGACCUGGGUUCCUGGAGUCUUUGACGGCUUUGUGUGGUCGACUUGUUUUGAUACUGAGGACACCCCUGCUGGCUGUUAAUUUCAGGGCAAGGGAUAUGAGGCCAUUAUUUUAAGUGAAAUAACUCAAGAAUGGAAAAUAAAAUACUAUUAUUUUUCACUUAUAAGUGGGAGUUAAGCUAUGCGUAUGCAAAGGCAUACAGAGUGAUGUAAUGGACUUUGGAGACUCAGAAGCAGAGAGUGGGAGGUGGAUGAGGGAUGAAAAAACUACCUAUUUGGUACAAUAUAAACUACUCAGGUGACAGGUGCACUAAAAUCUCAGAAUUCACUGCUAUAUAAUUCAUCCACGUAACCAAAAACCACUUGUACUGUAAGUGAUACUGAAAUAAAAAUUAUAAUAAAGCAAAUUUAUAAUAAAAUUAAAAUUAUACUUACAUAAUUAUAAUAUAAACAAAAAUUAUAAUAAGGAGCAGCUUUUUUUUUUUUUUCUUAAAAAGAAAAACCCAGUGCCACAGUUUUGGGUUCUAGUGUUUUGGAUAGAAAGCCCCUUUUGCUCAGUAACACACUCACUACUGGAGAAGCAAAAUCCUGAAAAUUCAAGAAGAACCUUGGCAUAAACGAUAUUUCUGACAAGUUAUUUAUACACUGCCUACAUGAGUAUUGCAGAUAUGUUUUAAAGACAAAGAUCCAUGUAGACUGGGUCAGCUUUAUGCUUGGUCAUUUUAUUUCCAAUUCUUCUCCCCUAAAAUACAAGUCAUGGGUUGCCAUGGUGAUUAUUCCAACUGCAUUGUGGUCAGAUGGAACUGGUGACCUGUUCUAAUUUCCCCUUCAGUUACAAAAUGAGCCCGAUGCUCUUAGCCAUCAAAAUCUCACCAACACCUACUACUUCAGUUUCAACUCUGGUUCCUUUUUCAAGGCAAUCACUCAAAGUUGCAAAUCACAGAAAGGCAAAAAUGUUUUAACUAAAAACUUAAUAAAAAGUUAUACCCCCCCUGAAGCCAUGUAAUUUGGGUUUUAUUUAUUUUAUUGUCUAUUCAGGUCCAUAAACCUACAACUGUAACAAUAUA